Molecule: ribosomal RNA, 444 nt
Filed under: uncultured bacterium
Lineage: Bacteria
Description: bacterial SSU rRNA
Rfam family: Bacterial small subunit ribosomal RNA
Source: RNAcentral
AACGCGAAGAACCUUACCUAGGCUUGACAUACAAGUGACAGCGGCAGAAAUGUCGUGUUUCCGCAAGGAACACUUGAACAGGUGCUGCAUGGCUGUCGUCAGCUCGUGCCGUGAGGUGUUGGGUUAAGUCCCGCAACGAGCGCAACCCUUGUCGUUAGUUGCCAGCGAGUAAUGUCGGGCACUCUAGCGAGACUGCCUGGGUUAACCAGGAGGAAGGUGAGGAUGACGUCAAGUCCGCAUGGCCUUUAUGCCUAGGGCCACACACGUGCUACAAUGGCCGGUACAACGGGUUCCGACACGGCGACGUGAAGGCAACCCCUUAAAGCCGGUCUCAGUUCGGAUUGCAGGCUGCAACUCGCCUGCAUGAAGUCGGAAUCGCUAGUAAUCGCAGAUCAGCAUUGCUGCGGUGAAUACGUUCCCGGGCCUUGUACACACCGACGCGUA